RNAcentral lists this ribosomal RNA (438 nucleotides) under uncultured bacterium. RNAcentral describes it as "partial 16S ribosomal RNA". It matches the Rfam family "Bacterial small subunit ribosomal RNA", at positions 339 to 795 of the family's 1533-position model. The record is from RNAcentral.
CUACGGGAUGCAGCAGUGAGGAAUAUUGCACAAUGGGGGGAACCCUGAUGCAGCAACGCCGCGUGGAGGAUGACGCAUUUCGGUGUGUAAACUCCUUUUAUAUGUCAAGAAAAUGACGGUAGCAUAUGAAUAAGCACCGGCUAACUCCGUGCCAGCAGCCGCGGUAAUACGGAGGGUGCAAGCGUUACUCGGAAUCACUGGGCGUAAAGGACGCGUAGGCGGGUUGGAAAGUCAGGUGUGAAAUCCUACAGCUUAACUGUAGAACUGCACUUGAAACUUCUAAUCUAGAGGAUGGGGGGGGAGAUGGAAUUAGUGGUGUAGGGGUAAAAUCCGUAGAUAUCACUAGGAAUACCUAAAGCGAAGGCGAUCUCCUGGAACAUUACUGACACUAAGGCGUGAAAGCGUGGGGAGCAAACAGGAUUAGAUACCCUAGUAGUC